GCUGGCGUAGCUCAGUUGGCAGAGCAGCUGAUUUGUAAUCAGCAGGUCGUCGGUUCGAAUCCGACCGCCAGCU
RNAcentral lists this transfer RNA (73 nucleotides) under Thiobaca trueperi. It matches the Rfam family "tRNA". From Rfam's summary of the family: Transfer RNA (tRNA) molecules are approximately 80 nucleotides in length. Their secondary structure includes four short double-helical elements and three loops (D, anti-codon, and T loops). Further hydrogen bonds mediate the characteristic L-shaped molecular structure. tRNAs have two regions of fundamental functional importance: the anti-codon, which is responsible for specific mRNA codon recognition, and the 3' end, to which the tRNAs corresponding amino acid is attached (by aminoacyl-tRNA synthetases). tRNAs cope with the degeneracy of the genetic code in two manners: having more than one tRNA (with a specific anti-codon) for a particular amino acid; and 'wobble' base-pairing, i.e. permitting non-standard base-pairing at the 3rd anti-codon position. RNAcentral also lists the same sequence under 1 other name. Lineage: Bacteria; Pseudomonadati; Pseudomonadota; Gammaproteobacteria; Chromatiales; Chromatiaceae. The record is from Rfam by way of RNAcentral.